UAACACGUGGGGUAACCCUGCCCAUAAGAGGGGGGAGUAACAUCCGGAAACGGGUGGCUAAUACCGCAUAGUUUUCUUGAUCGCAUGAUCGGGAAAGGAAAGACGGCCUUUGUGCUGUCGCUUAUGGAUGGACCCGCGGCGUAUUAGUUAGUUGGUGAGGUAACGGCUCACCAAGACGAUGAUACGUAGCCGACCUGAGAGGGUGAUCGGCCACAUUGGGACUGAGACACGGCCCAAACUCCUACGGGAGGCAGCAGUAGGGAAUCUUCCGCAAUGGACGAAAGUCUGACGGAGCAACGCCGCGUGAGUGAAGAAAAGGUUUUCGGAUCGUAAAACUCUGUUGUCAGAGAAGAACAAGUUGGAGAGUAACUGCUCCAGCCUUGACGGUAUCUGACCAGAAAGCCGCGGCUAACUACGUGCCAGCCGCCGC
This 430-nucleotide ribosomal RNA is filed under the name uncultured bacterium. Its description in RNAcentral is "bacterial SSU rRNA". It matches the Rfam family "Bacterial small subunit ribosomal RNA", at positions 111 to 518 of the family's 1533-position model. The record is from RNAcentral.